Molecule: RNA transcript, 5335 nt
Organism: Ictidomys tridecemlineatus (thirteen-lined ground squirrel)
Lineage: Eukaryota; Metazoa; Chordata; Mammalia; Rodentia; Sciuridae
Gene: Pdzd7
Gene name: PDZ domain containing 7
Source: RefSeq, a predicted model, not a curated record
CGACCAAGGGAGGUGCUGGGAGAGAAUAACUGGUGGCCCCACUAGCCAAUGGGAGCCCAGAGCUUCACAGACCAGCCCUAUUCCCGCAGCCCGCCGGGCGUGGGCGGGGUCGCUGGCUGCUGUACUGGCUGGCACCUGAGGGUGCACAAAACCCGCUGCGAUCACACACCGGAGCAGGUGAGGGGGCCAAGUCAGAGAAAUGGGGCCCAGGAGGGCUAGGCCUGGAGUAGGGGUUGUGUUCUGGGUGCCAGAUCUGCUCUGGGAGACUUGGCCCUGGGUUUUUCGCUGGGUAUUGUGAGGCUCUGACCGGCAGAUUCUCCGCCCAAGCGUGGGAAGGAGUCACGCAGCAGUUUUGAACCCUGAGCAGCUGCCUGCAGCCAGGGGAUUUCUUGGGCCUGGGCCGCAGCUGUCCCAGGUCCUGAAGCCCUACGCUGAAGGUUGGCCCCUAUCCGCAUACACAGAAGAGGUCUGGAGCCUACACAUCUGAGAAGUUAGGGUUUCCACCUUUCUGAGACCUCACCCUGCACGGAAGGCUCAUGGAGCUCAGAGCACUGGGAGCUGGCCUCUGGAGGGUUGGCAGAUUCCUUCUGGACCUAUAGGGUGCCACUCCAGUCCAGCCACCAUGGCACAUGGCUUCACAGUGGGCUUCGACCCACCGGGUCUAGGAGAAGUCAGCUCUAGCUCUCUGAGCUCCCUCUCCUCCAGAGGCCACCUGGGCAGCGACUUCGGCUCCACCGCAACGCGAUACCUGUUGCGGAAGCAGCAGCGACUGCUGAAUGGGCCCCCCCGUGGAAUCCGAGCCUCAUCACCCAUGGGCCGUGUCAUUCUCAUCAACUCCCCCAUCGAAGCCAACAGUGAUGAAAGUGACAUCAUCCACGCAGUCCGGGUGGAGAAGAGCCCAGCAGGGAGGCUGGGUUUCAGCGUGCGGGGAGGCUCUGAGCAUGGCCUGGGCAUCUUUGUCAGCAAAGUAGAGGAGGGGAGCAGUGCAGAGCGGGCUGGCCUAUGUGUGGGGGACAAGAUCACAGAGGUGAAUGGACUGAGCCUGGAGAGCACCACCAUGGGCAGCGCAGUGAAGGUGCUGACGGGCAGCAGCCGCCUGCACAUGAUGGUACGGCGCAUGGGCCGGGUGCCAGGCAUCAAAUUCUCUAAGGAGAAAACCACGUGGGUGGAUGUGGUGAACCGGCGGCUGGUGGUGGAGAAGUGCAGUUCCACUCCAUCCAACAGCAGCUCGGAGGAUGGCGCGCGGCGCAUUGUCCACCUGUACACGACCUCUGAUGACUUCUGCUUGGGCUUCAACAUCCGAGGGGGCAAGGAGUUUGGCCUGGGCAUCUAUGUGUCCAAAGUGGACCAUGGUGGGCUAGCAGAGGAGAAUGGCAUCAAGGUGGGGGACCAAGUCUUGGCGGCCAACGGUGUCAGAUUCGACGACAUCAGCCACAGCCAAGCCGUGGAGGUGCUGAAAGGCCAAACACACAUCAUGUUGACCAUCAAGGAGACAGGCCGGUACCCUGCCUACAAGGAGAUGGUUUCUGAGUACUGUUGGCUGGACCGAUUGAGCAAUGGGGUGCUGCAGCAGCUGUCACCUGCCUCUGAGAGCAGCUCCAGUGUCUCCUCAUAUGCCUCCAGCGCCCCCUAUAGCUCAGGCUCCCUGCCCUCGGACCGCAUGGAUGUCUGCCUGGGGCCUGAUGACCUGGGCAGCCAAGGACCAGGUUGGGGGCGGGCGGACACAGCCAUGCAGACGGAGCCUGAUGUGGGGGGCCGUGUGGAGACUUGGUGUAGCGUGCGGCCCACAGUCAUCCUCAGAGACACAGCCAUCCGUUCUGAAGGACCCCCUCCUGCCCGCCGCCUUGACUCCGCCCUCUCAGAGUCCCCCAAGACUGCUUUGCUGCUGGCCCUUAGCCGACCCCGGCCCCCCAUCACACGUUCCCAGAGCCACCUGACCCUAUGGGCCCCCCGGGUGCUCCCUCGUGUCUGCAGAGGAGAAGAAACAGCGGAAGAAGGAGAAGUCGGGGUCCCCUGGGGAGAAGGGGGCCCUGCAGCGCUCCAAGACUCUGAUGAACCUCUUCUUCAAGGGAGGGCGGCAGGGGCGGCUUGCAGGGGAUGGGCGCAGAGAGGCCUGGACACUGGACAGCAGGAGCCCAGCCAAAGCCCGCCCUCGCCUGGACCUGGAGAAAGCUCCCAGGACACUGCUGUCUCCUGGUUCUCAGCUCACCUCUCUGGUCACUCUUAUCUAUCUUUUGAAGGUUCCUCUUUUCUCCUCUGACCCUUGAAGCAGGGGGAGUUGGGCCUGUACAGAAGUUUGUCACCUGGAGAUUGAGACGUGACCGGGAGAGGAGCCAGGCCCUGAUCUCUGCCAGGUCCGGGAGCCCCUCUAGCCAGCUGCCCAAUGAGCAGGUGCAGGCCUGGGAGAGCCGGCGGCCACUCAUUCAGGACCUGGCCCGGCGGCUGCUGACAGAUGAUGAGGUGCUGGCAGUCACCCGUCACUGCUCACGGGUAAGCCCCCAGCCCUCCUAUAGCUGUGGCCCACAGUGGCUCACUCACCUAGCCCCUUAUACAUUCAGGCUACUGUCCAUUGAGCAGAACCUGGGCUUGAUUCUGAGAGGCCAGCAGUCAGUAAAAGAAAAAUACACCUCUCUCUCUCUCUCUCUCUCUCUCACACACACACACACACACACACACACACACACAUACACACACACAGAGCAAUCUCACAGGAAAGGGAGCUAUAUGAUAACUAGAUCCUAAACACCCCUAGUAAAAAAUCACUCAAGAUGCUGUGAAGGAGAAAAACAUAAAAGAUAACCCCGGAGAGGUACACAUUAGGUGGCAUGGUCUAGGAAGGUCUCCUCGAGGAGGUGACAUUUAAACCGAGGAGAAGAGAGAAGGUGAACAGGUGAUGAGGGGGUGGAAGUGAGUCCCUUAGACUCCCUCUAAGCCCCCACCCAGCCUUAUCCCCCUUGUCAUCUUUUAUUCCUGGGACAGUCAGUAGAUCCAGCCCUAUGCAAAGUCCCCUUUUUCUUUUUUUUUUUUAACAAAAGAAAAACAAAGUCCCCUUCCGUUACCCAAGUAACUAAGUUACUUACUUACCCAUGUAAGCCAUCUUACACCAUUAUUCUGUUCUCUUCUACUUGAAACAGAACCCAAGGACCCUAGGGCAGGGUGGGUGUCAGCUUUUGAGGAGUCCCUAAAGCCUGAAUGUUGGGGAGGCUGUGUGGUGCAGCUCGCCCCCUCUAAGAGAACUGGAAGAUUCUGUCCUAUCCCUUGUCUCAGGAAUCCCUGGAGUUCUGUGGGUUCUGCACAGCUUGUGCAGGCUGAGGGGUUUCAGAGAGUCAUGUGCAGAUUCCUCCAACCCACCUUGCUCAGAGUGAUGUUGUAUAUCAGUGUAAUAUCUGCAUUGGCAUGUCCGGGGGCUACCUGGUUUAUGUCAACACGACUGCAUGAUUUUAUCUAUGUAUGGGCUUGUAUGUAUCUGGCUAGUGCAUGUGUGUGUCCAGGUAUUGUCACCUGGACCCUAAGAUGUGGUCAUUCAUGUAUCCCUUUACUAAGGCCUGGUUCACAGUAGAGCUGCAGAUGGGGGUGCAUGUUGGGAGGCAGCUACUGGACUCAGAAUUAAACUCAGUAGGUGUCACACAGCUCUGAGUGCUAAGUACAGCUGUUAUUCACCAACCUCCAGGGAUCUUGUACCUCUGGGAUAUGGCCACUAGGUGGGGUUCUGUGUCUGUUUCUUUGGCCAAUGCCUUUCCCCCUCAUUCCUCCACUCUGCAGCCCUCAAGUCAGGACAUGUACUCACUUUGUCCCCAUAUCACCUGCAGGCUCUACAUACUGCCUGACCCAGUCCCCUCCACCACCCUCUGGGAUGAAUCCAGCCCUCAGGGAUCGAUAAAGUUCCUCUGAUGCCUGGGCUAUAAAGCCCUGAACCUCAGGCCUCCCUUUUCUCUCCCCUCUGAGCCAUUGCUACACAGCCAUGAGACCAAAAUACCUCUGUGCUCACUCCAUGGUGCCCAAGCCACCUCUUGACCACUUAUAUUUGGCAGAAUAGAAUAUAAGUUGCUUAUAUUACAUUUAAGGCCCUCUCUGAGGUCACCUCUCAACACCUUUCCCAUUGUCUUCCAUGGCCACCACUUUGGCCUGAACAGGUUACGAACUAAGCAACUUCAGGGAGGACAAGUCACAGCGCUCACCACUGUGCAGCCCUACGUGGAGGCUCCUUGUGGACCCCAUAGCCACACUAAACCUGUUUACUCAUUGUUCCUCUUCGCCUUUGGAGCACUUGCCUCCCUGAUCUUUUCUUUCAGAGUCUGAGUAAAGGCCACCAUCUCCAGGAAGCCCACUCAGAACCUCCACUUCUGAAACCACCGUUGCCCUACUGCCAGGGAUUUAUGGUUCAUUUGCCCUUUGUUCCCACUAGACUGAGUUUCCGAGGAUUGGGGACAGGGGUCUUCAUUAUUUUGUCUCCACUGCCCAGUACAGGGCCUGGAUGCUGCAUGAUUUGUGGACUUGAUGUAUGUACACACAUGUGGCUGUUUCCUGGGUCAUUUGCAUGUCUUUCUUCAGACAACAAGGAGUGUAUUGUGGUUUGUGUAUGUAUGAAUCCCUGUGACUGCGUGAGGUUUAGGGCCACACACGAAGUUUUUAUUUAUUUCCAGCUAUUUAUGAAUGGAAAUGACUCACUCUGACCACCAGAGGAUGCGCUCUCUCUGUCUAUGCCCAUAAAAGAGGUUCUCUGUGUGCAUGUCCCUGAAUCUGUCUCCCUUUCGCCACCAGGGGGCAGUGUUCUGCCCAAGUAGGGUGGCUCCCAGUGUUCAGUUCUCCAGUCUGUGGGGUGUGGCAUCCGCGUUGGUGGCAUCCAGGCAGUGCCAGGCAGAAGGGUACUGACUGGAGAAGCUUUUUGAGGAGCCACCCCUUCCCCAAGGUCCCCAUUCCAGCUCCAAACAAAGGGUCAGGCCCACAGCUUAGUGUUGGGCUCAAAUUCCUUCCUUCUGUCAGGAGGUGGGGGUGGGGAGGAGAGUGGGCUCCCUGCUCAUCCUUUAAUGCCACCAGAGCAGAGAAGAGCCAGACAUCUCCGGUUGCAGUCCUUCCUCACAUUUCCUUAUCUGUGUUGCUUUGAGCAAACUCCCCUCUGAGCCUCAGUUUACUCAUUCAUAAAAUAGAAAUAGUUAAUGUCAUCUCUCAGGGUGGUUAAGUGAGAAGCCAUAUGUAAAAGGCUUAGAAAAGUGUCUGUCCCAAAGCUAUUAUUGUUCCUGCCAUUUAUUAUGGAUCUGUUACUACUUCAGGCUUCCACAAGGUCACCAAGAUAAGACCAUCCUCUAGACCCUGGGGUGGAGUGAACAUUUCCCAA